AUUGAACGCUGGCGGCAUGCCUUACACAUGCAAGUCGAACGGUAACGGGCCUUCGGGUGCCGACGAGUGGCGAACGGGUGAGUAAUACAUCGGAACGUGCCCGAUCGUGGGGGAUACGAGGCGAAAGCUUUGCUAAUACCGCAUACGAUCUACGGAUGAAAGCAGGGGACCGCAAGGCCUUGCGCGGACGGAGCGGCCGAUGGCAGAUUAGGUAGUUGGUGGGAUAAAAGCUUACCAAGCCGACGAUCUGUAGCUGGUCUGAGAGGAUGAUCAGCCACACUGGGACUGAGACACGGCCCAGACUCCUACGGGAGGCAGCAGUGGGGAAUUUUGGACAAUGGGCGCAAGCCUGAUCCAGCCAUGCCGCGUGCAGGAUGAAGGCCUUCGGGUUGUAAACUGCUUUUGUACGGAACGAAAAGCCUUCUUUUAAUACAGGAGGGUCAUGACGGUACCGUAAGAAUAAGCACCGGCUAACUACGUG
This 481-nucleotide ribosomal RNA is filed under the name uncultured bacterium. Its description in RNAcentral is "partial 16S ribosomal RNA". It matches the Rfam family "Bacterial small subunit ribosomal RNA", at positions 30 to 507 of the family's 1533-position model. The record is from RNAcentral.